CAAUAGCGUAUAUUAAAGUUGUUGCAGUUAAAAAGCUCGUAGUUGGAUUUGUGGCGUACGGUGUGUUCCGGGCACUUGUUGUCUGAGUAACCUACUGUUGCCAUCCUUGGGUGGAACCUGUGUGGCAUUAGGUUGUCGUGCAGGGGAUGCCCAUCAUUUACUGUGAAAAAAUUAGAGUGUUCAAAGCAGGCUUAUGCCGUUGAAUAUAUUAGCAUGGAAUAAUGAGAUAGGACUUUCUUGCUAUUUUGUUGGUUUGCGCAAAGAGGUAAUGAUUAAUAGGGACAGUUGGGGGUAUUCGUAUUCCAUUGUCAGAGGUGAAAUUCUUGGAUUUUUGGAAGACGAACUACUGCGAAAGCAUUUACCAAGGAUGUUUUCAUUAA
Molecule: ribosomal RNA, 380 nt
Filed under: uncultured eukaryote
Lineage: Eukaryota
Description: partial 18S ribosomal RNA
Rfam family: Eukaryotic small subunit ribosomal RNA
Source: RNAcentral